This 506-nucleotide ribosomal RNA is filed under the name fungal sp. E14609A. RNAcentral's name for it is "eukaryotic LSU rRNA". The stretch from base 159 to 312 matches the Rfam family "5.8S ribosomal RNA". Lineage: Eukaryota; Fungi. The record is from RNAcentral.
AGGUUUUUAAUGCGGCGCGCUUCGGCGCUGCCUUAUUCACCCACCCUUUGUCUACGUGUACCUCUAUAGCUUCCUCGGCGGGCUCGCCCGCCGCCAGGAACCCACGAAACCCCUUGCAUUAUACACGAAAACUUCUGAUAACAAACCUAAAUUAUCACAACUUUCAACAAUGGAUCUCUUGGUUCUGGCAUCGAUGAAGAACGCAGCGAAAUGCGAUAAGUAGUGUGAAUUGCAGAAUUCAGUGAAUCAUCGAAUCUUUGAACGCACAUUGCGGCCAUAGGUAUUCCUUUGGCCAUGCCUGUUCGAGCGUCAUUUACACCCUCAAGCCUAGCUUGGUGUUGGGCGUCUGUCCCGCCGUUUUCGCGCGCGGACUCGCCUCAAAGUCAUUGGCGGCGGUCGUGCCGGCUCCUCGCGCAGCACAUUUGCGCUUCUCGGAGGCCCGGCGGAUCCGCGCUCCAGCAAAGACCUUUCAUGACUUGACCUCGGAUCAGGUAGGGAUACCCGCU